CAGGCCUAACACAUGCAAGUCGAACGAGAAAGGGGAGCAAUCCCUGAGUAAAGUGGCGUACGGGUGAGUAACACGUGGGUAAUCUACCUUUUGGUGGGGAAUAACGCUGGGAAACCGGCGCUAAUACCGCAUAAGCCCCCAUUGAUUAAAUGGUGGGGAAAAGAGAAAUCUGCCGAAAGAGGAGCCCGCGGCUGAUUAGCUAGUUGGUGAGGUAAAGGCUCACCAAGGCUUUGAUCGGUAGCCGGCCUGAGAGGGCACACGGCCACACUGGCACUGAAACACGGGCCAGACUCCUACGGGAGGCAGCAGUGGGGAAUCUUGCACAAUGGGGGAAACCCUGAUGCAGCGACGCCGCGUGAGUGAUGAAGCCCUUCGGGGUGUAAAGCUCUUUCGGCAGGGACGUAAUGACGGUACCUGAAGAAGAAGCUGCGGCUAACUACGUGCCAGCAGCCGCGGUAAUACGUAGGCAGCGAGCGUUGUUCGGAGUUACUGGGCGUAAAGAGUGCGUAGGCGGUUUUCUAAGUUUGGUGUGAAAUCUCCCGGCUCAACUGGGAGGGUGCGCCGAAGACUGGAAGGCUAGAGUAUGGGAGAGGUAAGCGGAAUUCCUGGUGUAGCGGUGAUAUGCGUAGAUAUCAGGAGGAACACCUGCGGUGUAGACGGCUUACUGGACCAUCACUGACGCUGAGGCACGAAAGCGUGGGUAGCAAACAGGAUUAGAUACCCUGGUAGUCCACGCCCUAAACGAUGCAUACUUGGUGUGGGUAGUUCAUUCUAUCCGUGCCGGAGCUAACGCGUUAAGUAUGCCGCCUGGUGAGUACGGUCGCAAGGCUGAAAACUCAAAGGAAUUGACGG
This 852-nucleotide ribosomal RNA is filed under the name uncultured bacterium. RNAcentral describes it as "bacterial SSU rRNA". It matches the Rfam family "Bacterial small subunit ribosomal RNA", at positions 43 to 916 of the family's 1533-position model. The record is from RNAcentral.